Molecule: non-coding RNA, 940 nt
Organism: Gadus morhua (Atlantic cod)
Lineage: Eukaryota; Metazoa; Chordata; Actinopteri; Gadiformes; Gadidae
Source: the annotation of a RefSeq genome assembly
CAACCAUGAAUCACCUCACCCUCCUUUUCUGGACAGUGGUCUGUGGAUCCUUAACAGGAACCAGCAGUCAGGUGACUGUGACUCAGACACCAGUAGUGUCCGUUACUCCAGGAUCCACGGUCACUCUGACCUGUAAAACCAACACAGCGGUUUUCAACAAUGAUUUUAUAUUCUGGUAUCAACAGAAGCCUGGAGAAGAACCCAAGCCCCUAAUAACACGUGUCAGUACACGUGAAUCAUCAACCCCAGCUCGGUUUAGUGGCAGUGGAAGCAGCACUGACUUCUCUCUGACCAUCAACGGCGCCCAGCGUGAAGAUGCAGCAGUUUAUCACUGUCAGAGUACCCACUAUCCUAACAGUGUCUGGGUUCGGACUUUUGGUGGAGGCACCAAACUCAUCGUUGAUUUGGGAGUGGUGCAGCCCACGCUGAGCGUCCUCCCUCCCUCCAGAGUGGAGCUGGAGCAGGGCAGUGCUACACUAGUGUGUGCGGCCAGUGGGGGCUUCCCCUCAGACUGGAAGCUUGGCUGGAAGGUGGGGGGCAGCAGCAGGUCUGGGGGGGUGUCAGAUAGCCUGGGGGUCCAGGGGAAAGAUGGCCACUACAGCUGGAGCAGCACCUUGACCCUCCCUGCAGACCAGUGGAGGAAGGCGGGCUCAGUGAGCUGUGAGGCCAGUAAGAAUGGCCAGACGCAGCCUGUCACUCAAACCCUGAAUCCUGACCAGUGUUCUGAGUAGAGAGGCUCCAGCAUGGAGGUACUGGAGGACACAGAUCUCCUCUGACACGCCUGCUCUAAGACUCUCUGUCUCAGGUGGCCCCGCAGCUUUUGUUGAUUUACAAUAAUAUAACUCGUGUUUGAUUCAUUAACUUGAUGCUCUCUGGAUUUUACCCGUUGCUUGUGUUGGUCACUUGUUGAACAUUUAAUAAAGAUUUAAAGAAUAAAUUC